Molecule: ribosomal RNA, 774 nt
Filed under: uncultured Neocallimastigales
Lineage: Eukaryota; Fungi; Neocallimastigomycota; Neocallimastigomycetes; Neocallimastigales
Description: partial large subunit ribosomal RNA
Rfam family: Eukaryotic large subunit ribosomal RNA
Source: RNAcentral
AGAGAGAGACAUGCGCGCAUAUCAAUAAGCGGAGGAAAAGAAACUAACAAGGAUUCCCCUAGUAACGGCGAGUGAAGCGGGAGGAGCUCAAAUUUGAAAUCUUAAAGGGUUUCCCUUUACGAAUUGUAGUUUAAAGAAGUGUUUUCUGUUGAGGUUUUGGUAAAAGUUCUUUGGAAUAGGACAUCAUAGAGGGUGAGAAUCCCGUAUUUGACCUUUACUUUCAACUUUGUGAUACACUUUCAAAGAGUCGGAUUGUUUGGGAAUGCAGUCCAAAAUGGGUGGUAAAUUUCAUCUAAAGCUAAAUAUUGGCGAGAGACCGAUAGCGAACAAGUACCGUGAGGGAAAGAUGAAAAGAACUUUGAAAAGAGAGUUAAACAGUACGUGAAAUUGUCAAAAGGGAAGCGUUUGACACCAGUGUUGUUUUUCUGAAAAUCAAUUAAAGAACUGUUUAUGCUAAGCUGUUUAGACUUUAUCAGCUAUCUGUUUAGUUUUGAGCUUUUCUUUAAUGCACUUUUCAGUUAACAAGUCAACAUCAAUUUCUUUUGCUGUAAAAAAGCUUGAGGAAGGUGGCUUGAGAUUCGUCUUAAGUGUUUAUAGCCUCUUGCCUAUGCAGUCGGAGAGAUUGAGGUCUGCAGCGUAGAUCCUUCGGGGCUAAAUGCAUUUGUGCUAAGUUAUAGCAUUUUAUAGACAACUUGUUGACUAUGAUUUGUCUUGUAGCUUACUCGCUUAUGUUAUUUUACCUACGCUUAGGAUGUUGACGCAUGAGAUAUACGC